This 415-nucleotide ribosomal RNA is filed under the name uncultured prokaryote. RNAcentral describes it as "bacterial SSU rRNA". It matches the Rfam family "Bacterial small subunit ribosomal RNA", at positions 505 to 918 of the family's 1533-position model. The record is from RNAcentral.
GUGCCAGCCGCCGCGGUAAUACGGAGGGUGCAAGCGUUGCUCGGAAUCACUGGGCGUAAAGCGAACGCAGGCGGCCAGGUAUGUCGGAUGUGAAAGCCCCGGGCUCAACCCGGGAACUGCAUUCGAAACUGCCUGGCUUGAGUCCGAGAGAGGGUGGUGGAAUUCCUGGUGUAGAGGUGAAAUUCGUUGAUAUCAGGAGGAACACCGGCGGCGAAGGCGGCCACCUGGCUCGGUACUGACGCUCAUGUUCGAAAGCGUGGGUAGCAAACAGGAUUAGAUACCCUGGUAGUCCACGCCGUAAACGAUGUGUGCUAGAUGUUGGAGGUAUUCACCCCUUCAGUGUCGCAGCUAACGCACUAAGCACACCGCCUGGGGAGUACGGUCGCAAGAUUAAAACUCAAAGGAAUUGACGGGG